RNAcentral lists this transfer RNA (69 nucleotides) under Ictidomys tridecemlineatus (thirteen-lined ground squirrel). RNAcentral's name for it is "Spermophilus tridecemlineatus (thirteen-lined ground squirrel) tRNA". It matches the Rfam family "tRNA". Rfam says of the family: Transfer RNA (tRNA) molecules are approximately 80 nucleotides in length. Their secondary structure includes four short double-helical elements and three loops (D, anti-codon, and T loops). Lineage: Eukaryota; Metazoa; Chordata; Mammalia; Rodentia; Sciuridae. The record is from Rfam by way of RNAcentral.
GGUGCUGUAGCUCAGUGGUAAAGUGCUUGCCUACCACACAUGAGACACAGGGUUUAAUCCUCAGCACCA